AAGGGAUGCCUUAGUACGGCGAGUGAAGCGGCAAAAGCUCAAAUUUGAAAUCUGGUACCUUCGGUGCCCGAGUUGUAAUUUGGAGAGGGCAACUUUGGGGCCGUUCCUUGUCUAUGUUCCUUGGAACAGGACGUCAUAGAGGGUGAGAAUCCCGUGUGGCGAGGAGUGCGGUUCUUUGUAAAGUGCCUUCGAAGAGUCGAGUUGUUUGGGAAUGCAGCUCUAAGUGGGUGGUAAAUUCCAUCUAAAGCUAAAUAUUGGCGAGAGACCGAUAGCGAACAAGUACAGUGAUGGAAAGAUGAAAAGAACUUUGAAAAGAGAGUGAAAAAGUACGUGAAAUUGUUGAAAGGGAAGGGCAUUUGAUCAGACAUGGUGUUUUGUGCCCUCUGCUCCUUGUGGGUAGGGGAAUCUCGCAUUUCACUGGGCCAGCAUCAGUUUUGGUGGCAGGAUAAAUCCAUAGGAAUGUAGCUUGCCUCGGUAAGUAUUAUAGCCUGUGGGAAUACUGCCAGCUGGGACUGAGGACUGCGACGUAAGUCAAGGAUGCUGGCAUAAUGGUUAUAUGCCGCCCGUCUUGAAACACGGACCA
Molecule: ribosomal RNA, 583 nt
Filed under: Saccharomyces cerevisiae (brewer's yeast)
Lineage: Eukaryota; Fungi; Ascomycota; Saccharomycetes; Saccharomycetales; Saccharomycetaceae
Description: LSU rRNA
Rfam family: Eukaryotic large subunit ribosomal RNA
Source: RNAcentral